RNAcentral lists this ribosomal RNA (253 nucleotides) under uncultured bacterium. RNAcentral describes it as "partial 16S ribosomal RNA". It matches the Rfam family "Bacterial small subunit ribosomal RNA", at positions 524 to 776 of the family's 1533-position model. The record is from RNAcentral.
UACGUAGGUGACAAGCGUUGUCCGGAUUUACUGGGCGUAAAGAGCGCGCAGGCGGUCGUUCAAGUCGAGUGUGAAAGCCCCCGGCUCAACUGGGGAGGGUCACUCGAUACUGAUCGACUCGAAGGCAGGAGAGGGAAGUGGAAUUCCCGGUGUAGUGGUGAAAUGCGUAGAUAUCGGGAGGAACAUCAGUGGCGAAAGCGGCUUCCUGGACCAGUACCGACGUUCAGGCACGAAAGCGUGGGGAGCAAACAGG